Molecule: ribosomal RNA, 429 nt
Filed under: Acidobacteriota bacterium
Lineage: Bacteria; Pseudomonadati; Acidobacteriota
Description: Acidobacteria bacterium partial 16S ribosomal RNA
Rfam family: Bacterial small subunit ribosomal RNA
Source: RNAcentral
UGGGGAAUCUUCCGCAAUGGACGAAAGUCUGACGGAGCAACGCCGCGUGAGUGAUGAAGGAUUUCGGUCUGUAAAGCUCUGUUGUUUAUGACGAACGUGCAGUGUGUGAACAAUGCAUUGCAAUGACGGUAGUAAACGAGGAAGCCACGGCUAACUACGUGCCAGCAGCCGCGGUAAUACGUAGGUGGCGAGCGUUGUCCGGAAUUAUUGGGCGUAAAGAGCAUGUAGGCGGCUUAAUAAGUCGAGCGUGAAAAUGCGGGGCUCAACCCCGUAUGGCUCUGGAAACUGUUAGGCUUGAGUGCAGGAGAGGAAAGGGGAAUUCCCAGUGUAGCGGUGAAAUGCGUAGAUAUUGGGAGGAACACCAGUGGCGAAGGCGCCUUUCUGGACUGUGUCUGACGCUGAGAUGCGAAAGCCAGGGUAGCGAACGGG